Molecule: RNA transcript, 8829 nt
Organism: Carassius gibelio (silver crucian carp)
Lineage: Eukaryota; Metazoa; Chordata; Actinopteri; Cypriniformes; Cyprinidae
Gene name: potassium voltage-gated channel subfamily C member 1-like
Exons: 7
Source: RefSeq, a predicted model, not a curated record
GGCACCAGCUGCCACCUUUCCUUUAAAGAGCUGAAGGGAGGGAAUAACACCGAGGGAUCCCAUGUCACCAUUAGAUUAAGGAAUAAAUUGCAUGGAAAUACAGAUUUACCAAACAAAAACAUCGACAGAAAAAAAGGGAGGGGAACAAACGAACGGAAGAAAUAAGAGAGGCAGCUCAAGGAAUAACAUUUGUAGUCGUGCCCGGCAAGCUGCUUGUUCGGCAUAAAUCAAUUCAAACAGACAUCUCAGUCUGCAACUAAAGACCUGCUUUCGGUCUUCUUAACCCUGGACAACGGGAACGGGUGAUGAUACGGAAGAAAGGAUGCUAAAACUGAGAAGAAAGGGAUAGACUGUUAAUGGAGUGAGUGCAUGAAGAUUUAAACAGAGAGAGAGAGAGGGAGAGGUGUUUCCCCGCUGCACGUUUCGCUUGGAUGAAUAGACUUGUUUCGUGUAGGGAAUAAAAGUAAAAGGUUAACACGAGCUUCAAGAAAUAGAAAUGCUUAUUUACCAGGAAAAUAUUUUUUGAUAUCAGACCUGUAACACCUGUGUAAAUAACGAGAAUAAUUUAUUUGAGGAACAAGGAUAUCAGAGGUGCAACUUAGGUGAUUUAUUCUGUUUUUCGUAGGCUAGUCUUCUGUAUCACCAGAGGAACUGAACUACGCACUAUAGCACAGUUGCGUUGUUUUCAACUAGCAGGUGUUGUAGCGAGAAUAGCCUAUAUUGCAUUAUUCAUAACUGUAGCCAUUUUAUAAAAAAAAAACAACUAAAUCUUGGGUUUCUGCACAGUCACUUGGACCUACGCCAAGAGGAUCCCUCAGUUCAGUCAGAAAACAGGCAAUUGCACGUAGCGUUUUUGUGCAGUUUGUGUGUUCAUGUGUGUGUGUUCAGUGACACGCACACUGCACGCACGCGAACAGAGCCAGACCCAAAGCGAGCUCCUCCUCCCCCCCUCCCCGCUCGGUUCUCUCUCCUCCUCUCCCUCCCCCUGCUCCUCUAUGCUCAGUUCGGUGUGUGUCUCCUCUUUCAAAGGGCGCAAGGGUGGGAACAAGUCGUCCAACAAAGCAUGUUACAGCGCAGACAUGACUUGUCCGUCAGACAGCGAGAAAAUAGUGAUAAACUGCGGGGGGAUUCGGCACGAGACGUACCGCAGCACACUGAAGACGCUGCCUGGGACGCGCUUGUCCUGGCUCACGGAGCCAGAUGCGUUCAGUAACUUUGACUAUGACCCCAAAUCAGACGAGUUCUUCUUUGACCGCCACCCCAACACCUUUGCUUUCAUCCUCAACUAUUACCGCACAGGGAAGUUGCAUUGUCCUAACGAUGUCUGCGGUCCUCUCUUCGAGGAGGAGCUCGCGUUCUGGGGUAUCGACGAGACGGACGUGGAGGCUUGCUGCUGGAUGAACUACCGACAGCAUCGGGACGCCGAGGAAGCGCUGGACAGCUUCGAAACGCCCGAACCGGAGCCGCCAGAGGACGACCCGGCGCUCACGGGUGGUGCGGACGGGGAUUUGAAGAGGUUGUGUCUGCAGGAGGAUGGCCGCAACCGCAGCUGGUGGAGUACCUGGCAGCCCCGCAUCUGGGCGCUGUUUGAGGACCCCUACUCCUCCAAAUACGCCAGGUAUGUGGCGUUCGGCUCGCUCCUGUUCAUCCUCAUCUCCAUCUCAACAUUUUGCUUGGAGACACACGAGGCCUUCAACACCAUCUACAAUAAGACAGAGAACGUGACGGUGGGGAACGUCACACGGGAGGAGAUUGUGUAUGAGGUAGUGACUGACAACUGGCUGACCUACGUGGAGGGCAUGUGCGUCAUCUGGUUCACCAUCGAGGUGUUCGCCCGCGUCAUCUUCUGCCCGGACAAGGCGGAGUUCUUCAAGAGCUCGCUGAACAUCAUCGACUUUGUAGCCAUCCUGCCCUUUUACCUGGAGGUGGGGCUGAGCGGCCUCUCCUCGAAAGCCGCGAAAGACGUGCUGGGCUUUUUGCGCGUGGUGCGAUUCGUCCGAAUCCUGCGAAUCUUCAAGCUCACACGUCAUUUCGUGGGGCUGAGAGUGCUGGGUCACACGCUCCGUGCCAGCACCAAUGAAUUCUUGCUCCUCAUCAUCUUCCUCGCUCUGGGGGUGCUCAUCUUCGCCACCAUGAUCUACUACGCAGAGCGCAUCGGCGCCGACCCGGCCGACCCCACGGCGAGCGCCCACACCACCUUCAAAAACAUCCCCAUCGGCUUCUGGUGGGCAGUGGUCACAAUGACAACACUGGGCUAUGGUGACAUGUAUCCAGAGACAUGGUCUGGUAUGUUAGUGGGUGCCCUGUGUGCCCUGGCGGGCGUGCUGACCAUCGCCAUGCCUGUGCCCGUCAUUGUAAACAACUUCGGCAUGUACUACUCUCUGGCCAUGGCCAAGCAGAAGCUGCCCAAGAAGAAGAACAAGCACAUCCCUCGGGCUCCGCAGCCUGGAUCGCCCAACUACUGCAAGCCAGACGCCCUGGCCAUGGCAACUGCCUCACCGCACAGGAUCUUGGGUAAUGUGCUGGGCAGUAUGGUGGUCUCUGGAAGCAUGGCAGGAGACUGUCCUCUUGCACAGGAGGAAAUCAUAGAGAUUAACAGAGCAGACUCAAAACAGAAUGGAGAUGCCGCAAACGCAGCUCUGGCUAAUGAGGACUGUCCCACCAUAGAUCAGGUGCUGGGGCCAGAUGACAGGAGUCCGGCCACCGGUGGGCUGGGGACAUGCACGGGGCGUGAACGUUACCCCCACGAUAGGGCCUGCUUCCUUCUCAGUACCGGAGAGUUCCGCACCACAGACAGCAAUGUCAGGAAAGAAGCUGCAGGCGCCAACCCAGUCUGCCCCCCAGCAGAGGAGUGGUUCAAGCCGGAUGGGCCACUGCUACAGCAGGACCUCAAUGCCAAUUCUGCCUCCUCUUGGAUCAAACCAUAAUGAAUCCGAGAGAACUAUUCUGAAAGCCCAGUGCUUAUCAGAUAUAUGCAAAAAGAAGCAGUAACUGUGAACUAAGACUAGAACAGAAAAUCCACUUCUUCCUUCACAAAUACAUUCCCGAAUGAACACCUGAGCCCCCGAACCAGUGUCAGCUCCUGUACAAGUGCAUUUUAGUUUGUAUUCCCAUCUCAUGGCAUCAUUAAUCUUAUUUAAUCAUCUUAGUUUUGCAUUAUUAAAGAGCAGAUUAGUUGUUUUUCUCCCCUUUGCUGUUGCGUUAACCUUAGUUCUACCCCCCUCUGCUGGUUUCACGGGGGAUGACGUAGCAUUCACUGUUGUUGAUCAUUAGCACACCUUUGUCACUUUAGAAUACAGAUUUUAGCCCUUAUUGUUUACCUGUUAUAUUUAAGAUAAAAAAAAAGAUUCUUUAGGCAUUCAUUUGAACAGACUCAGUCCAGAAGGAGUGAUUUCUUGUUCACUGAACACUGAUCAGAGCAAAGAGAAAGAAGCUAAUGCUAAGAAGUCUGCCUGCUGCAGCAAUGCAUGUUUCCACAUAUUCAAGAUAGCUAGCACUUAGCAUCCCUAGUGCAUUUUGUGGUUUUGCUGUGUGUAGUCUAUCUGUUAAAGUGUAGUCAGUGUGAACAGAGUGGAUGGGAUGGCUCCACUUUAAUCCCUUUAUCUCAGCUCUAAGGUUUCGAUGUGAAAGAGACAGGCCUGCCACUAGUUAGCUUAGUUAGCGAAUGCCCUGGUAAAAGCAGAGGCUGCAUGUGAUCACGGAGGACAGUGUAAAUAAUUCCCUGCAUGUGGAGUUAACAGCACAAAAACUAUCGUUUGAUUCAAAUGAGACAUUCGGAAUGUGGAGAGAAGGUUGAGUUCAAACGAUUUUGCGACAUUAUCCAAAAUCCUCUCUGUUUCUGACUUACGCUGCCCUGUCACUACUCAGGUAAAUCUCUUUUUGUUUGUCUAUACCAGUGCUUCCAAAAUGAUGUCAUUCGAAAUAGAGAGAGAGGCAGAUGAGAACACCCCCUUAAUGCGUGCAUUUGUGUAAAUAUGAAAUAAUCAUGUUUGAUCCUAACAUUGCAUUCAUUCCAAGUCUUCCUUUUCCACAGUGUCCUUCUUGCCCUUCAUUUCGUCAUUUCAUCCGUCACUUUCAUUUAUUCCCAACUCUUACUGCUUCCAAAUAACAACCAAAAAUGCCCGGAUGACAUUAUGAGAAACAGGAAAAAUAAGAGGGAUUUGUAAAAAAGAAAAAAAAAAAAGAAAAAACUGUAUAUGGAAUCAGGACGCAACCAAAUUCAGGAGAUGAAAGCAUGAGGGUCAGAUGCACAGAUUGUGUGUUUGGGGAACAGUUUUGGGAGGAUUGUCAACCAAUGAAGAAAGGCAUCGUGAAAUGGAGAACAGUUUGAGGAAGAAAGAAAAAAGCAAAGAGAGGAGGAAGGGAGCUGAACGCUUCUCAGUGUAAGAAUUGCUGAGCUUCUGAACUGCCACUUUUAUAAAGCUCCCCAACCGCAAAACCUGUCCAGAGGCAACCCCCAGGGUCACCGCAGGAUUAGAGACGGCGAAAGAGAGAAAACGAGAGAUGAAAGGAGUGCUUCGCUAAACCAACUUGAAGAAAACAUUGUAACACUAGUCUCUCCAUUUCUAAUUUUAACCCCCAACGUAGGUGCAAUAAACUGUCAAUAUCACGUUUUGGGAGGAUGUGGAUCACAUUCUUCCUACAGGGAUCGCUGCCCUUGGAAAACGGGUGGGAUUCGUCAUACAAACUGUAGUAUAUCCUGGCUCGAUCUGAUGGAAAUGGAUGCAAUUUUGAAGUGAUUUAUUUUUGUGGGGCGAUCCACCAUGAUAAUUGCAUCUGAAAGUGGACCAAAAACCCUCGAUCCAGUCUCAGAUACACAUAAUGUGUGGAAAAAACACCCAUCAUACCCUUCAACGCUAUGCAAUUCAAACACACAUUGACAGUCAGUUUCAUCAAACGCUUCAAUCGAACAGUUUAUCAGCCAAACUUUUUCUGCUCCUUUACCUUUUGGAGAUCUUGCACGUGCUUUAAAUGAAAAUAGACAGUGCCGCCAUCGGCCUGCCACAUUCCUAUACCGUACAGUUUCCCCAUUCAUCCAAUUGGAAAUCUUGUUCAGAGUGUCCUUCUCAGGGCUCAAAGAAAGGUGACUUUGUCCACUAUGAAGAAAAGAGCAUUAGCCUCUCUCUUUUCUCUCUCUCUCUUAGUUCAGCUCUCUGCGUCUCAGCAUUUCUGUUCAACUGUAGAUGAACUGCAUGGCAUGAAUAAAAAAAUAAAAUAAAAAAAACAGAGAGAAAGAUGAUAGAGAUCAUGCUGAGAGGAACAAGAGGAAACUGUAGACAGGACCACUUUGUUUGCACAGUAAAAAAUGGGUGACUAUGGAUCAGUGGAUGGGGUCACUUUCUUCACCUUCACGUGGGGAACAGAAAAUACAACAAGUGCAUGUUACCUGUUGAAGGACAGAGGGGUUUUUAAGUGGACUGGGUGAACUUUGAACAAAAGCUGAAAAAAAAGAGAAAAUGGAAAAACAAAUGCAUUUUUUUUCUCACUUUGUUUACCAGCAUGACUAAACUGCAUGACUUUGCAAGCCCUGAACCCCAAAUUAGAGGGCUUGAAAUCACUAAAUGCCGAAAUCAAAUGGAAACAAUAACAUUUUAUGCUAAAUGCUUCUAAAUUAUGAAAAAAAAAGAAUAUAUUUAAAAAAAGAGAGGCUCUUUAUUUUGUUUUUGAAUAAUAAAAAAAAAGAAUAAUGUAAAAAUAUAUAAGAUCGCAAGAUUCACACAGUUUUGUUGGGUAAAAGAGGAACAAACCCCACUCAGUCUAGCUGAGUGAUCUAGAACGAACUCCUUCAACUACGACUGCUCCCUCAAUGGUUUCGAAUCACACAUCUUCCCUUCUCUUUGUCCAUCAUUUCACCCUUUACUUGAACUUUCCUGGCUCUUUGCUCUGCCCUUCACAGUCUCCCUCAGUCAUGGCAGCCUCCAGCAGUGGCGCGACAGCUCCUCUGGAGACCUCCGACACCUACAGGGCUCUUUUCUUUUGAUGGUUAUGGGUCUGAAAAGCAAGGUGGAAGGGGAUUUUAAGACUGUGGGUGAAGUUGUCUUUUUAAGUUUAAUCCUGAUGGAAAGUUUUGGCUUGCUUUGCGAUGCUUGCGCUUUUUAUUUCAUCCACAUUCCACGGGUAAAUCAAAGCUUUAUCCAUCGGAAGUGAGUUUGCAUCCACUUAAUAUCAGUCUAAUGAAUAUUAGCGUUGUGUGAACUGCUGUGUCACGAGACCCUGAGCACUUACUGUACAUCGCAAAGCACUAUUAUUCAAUCAGGAAGCCAUAAUGUGAGAGUAGCGCCACCAUAUGAGCUCAAAGGUGCUCAGGAGACCGUGUUGAUUCAGAAACCUGAACAUGGUUUUGUAGUUCUUAAGUUGUGUUGAGUUUGUUGAAAAUGUUGACAUUUAUUCUGUAGUUCAUUUUCUGGUGGUACAGAGCAUUGCAAGGUUUUAACAAGAUUUUGUUACAGUCACUUAAUAUUUGUCUUAUUUUGAAAGUUUUAAAGAUUUGCAUAUGCUGAGCACCCACUAAAACCAGCCAUGCCAUACCAAAAUGGACUUCCUUAUUAACUUAGCAGCAGACUUCUGAUAUUAGCAUCAGUAUUAGCAUUAGCCUGUGUGAGAGGAGGCCAUGAUUCCACCAGUGUCGCUUUUAACUCGUAGAUUACACGUGUGAGUAACUGUUUGACUGUUUAAAACUUUUGGUGUCUUCAACAAGAUACCAAGCACUGGUUACGUUACAAAAGUUGGUUAGUCUGUUUAGGUGUUGUUUACGUUGAUUUAAAGUGUAAUUUGCUGUCUUGAAACACAUCGCUAAUCGUUCAGAGUCAGAUGUAAGCUUAGUUUAGUAACUACCUAUGCAACACCUAAGCAAGACCUUAGCAGCUCACACACACAAACACACACACACACACACACACACAUGCCAUGUGCUCAGGCCAGCUGGCUGGUGUCUGUUUACCGGUGCUGUGUGUCCAGGGAGGGAAAAUGACACAGAUGCAGCUCCAUCACCACAAGAGCCAGCAUUAUCUGCUGACCGUGUAGUUUUUUCUUCAUAUGUUAGCAGCUGGUCAGAGUAGCUUGAAGGUGCGACCGAUGUGUGCAGCUGUAGUAGCCAUGUCGCUUUCUUUAGUGGUGCACUAUCUUCUUGAUUAAUACAUCAGGCCUGUUUUUUGUUAUUUGCAAUGUCUUUUCUGCAUGCUUCUCAUGGUGCACGAAGACACUCAUGCACUUUUAGAGUUAACCUAUAUGUUUAUAUGUAAGCAUACACUCAUCUCAAAGGGUUUGCAGGACACCUGAAUUGUUUCACAUGUGCUAUUCAGUUCCAGAUUGCAUUUGCUGACCGGUUAAGAUGAUGUGUACCUCUCUGGUCGUUUAUAAAUCCGAUUGGAUGGUGUUUUGGAGCAAUAAUGCUAGAGGGCCACUCUUUCCUCAUUGUCGUCAUUAGCAAUUGGAGGACAUGUUCAUCUCAUCCCUAAUAAGAAAUCCUGUGUGCCUGAAACUGUUCCCUGAAUGUGUACGCAAACCGGCCACAUCAAUUGAAGAUGCUCUCUCUGCAAAUGCUUCCCAUGAGAGUUUGUCUUGGCGUGAAUGAGACUGCAACCCCUCCAGAUGGCUGACAGCUCAACAUACCUUUACUUGAAACCCAAAUGUAAAACAUAUCAGAGAGGAGCAGAACAAAGCCAGAAUCAGUCUUCACGCUUUCUCAACUUCCUGUUUGCAUUCCACCCCCCUCAUCUGUUCCCUCUCCUUCUCUAUUUUUAAGGAAGAAGCUUUUUUUUGCAUCCCUUGUUCUUGUGUUUUUCUAUCAUAUUGUUUGAAGUUGACUUGUUUUGCAUGCAUGGAAUACAAUGAGGACAUAACUUGUGAAUAAUUUAUGAAUGGCCAGAAUGAGGUAAUCAUCUCUUUCACCUGGGCUCUCUACUCUGCAACUUCUCUUUCUGAGAUCAUUAGAGAGGAAGAAAGAGCAUAUGUUGUUCCUGGUUUCCCUCACAUCCCUAUUUCUCCAAAAUGUAGCCAUGCCAAAUAUAAAUUAAGGCUGUACUCUAGCCAUUCCGAAAUACUCUGUGUUUUAUUUAUAUAUUUAUAUAUUGUUUUAAAGAUUAUAUUUAUCUGUAUAUAUCUGUAAUGAAUAUUCAUCAGAGCUUCCACAGACUCAGAGCUGAACAGAUGCAGCAGAUGUCGACAAAAAACAGCCUGCAGGAACUCAGUUUUCACUGCAUGUGUCUGUGCAUUUAUUCUUGUAUAGUUUGACCCAAUAUGCACUACGUGUCCUUUUCUACUUUAGUUAUUUAAUGUAGCUUGUUUAAAGGGGGGAUUCAUUGCACUAUCACAGCUAAUGGAGCGGCUGUGUCUACUGCUGAGCGCAAGCCUAACCAUACACCCCCCCUAAGUUAAGAAAGAGAGAAAGAGAGAGAGAGUUAGAAAGAGAGGCCAGUGAGAAAGAGAAGGUUCCUAAAAGAAAUGGAUGAGUUCUAUGCUACUAAGAUUGAUGCUGGAUACAAUUUUAUUGUCAUACAAAAAAGGGGAAAAAAAUAUCAAGAACUGUAUAAAAUAUAUUUCAAUGGAAUGUUUAUUAUUUACCUUUUAUAUUUUUGAAAUGUAUAAAGAAAAAAAAUUAAUAAACUGUAAUAAUUUAACAGAGUUUGUGAACACUGAGACUUAAAAAUGUUAUAUUACUAAAAGUAUGGACGUUUGAACGUGAAUGCUAACCUACCUGAUCAAAUCUUCUCCAUUACAGAUAGGGAAAAAAUAAAAUAAAAAAACAAUUAGAAAAAUGAAAUACAAUUUAAAAAGAAAAAGUUCAAUAAAAUCAAUAAAAAUGUUAAAACCUCAUGCCAAAAUUUUCAA